ACCAGACUCCUACGGGAGGCAGCAGUCGGGAAUAUUGCGCAAUGGAGGAAACUCUGACGCAGUGACGCCGCGUAUAGGAAGAAGGUUUUCGGAUUGUAAACUAUUGUAGACAGGGAAGAAGAAAGACAGUACCUGUAGAGUAAGCUCCGGCUAACUACGUGCCAGCAGCCGCGGUAAUACGUAGGGAGCAAGCGUUAUCCGGAAUUAUUGGGUGUAAAGGGUGCGUAGACGGGAAUACAAGUUAGUUGUGAAAUCCCUCGGCUUAACUGAGGAACUGCAACUAAAACUAUAUUUCUUGGGUGCGGGAGAGGAAAGUGGAAUUCCUAGUGUAGCGGUGAAAUGCGUAGAUAUUAGGAGGAACACCAGUGGCGAAGGCGACUUUCUGGACCGUAACUGACGUUGAGGCACGAAAGUGUGGGGAGCAAACAGGAUUAGAUACCCGAGUACC
This 448-nucleotide ribosomal RNA is filed under the name uncultured bacterium. RNAcentral describes it as "bacterial SSU rRNA". It matches the Rfam family "Bacterial small subunit ribosomal RNA", at positions 330 to 794 of the family's 1533-position model. The record is from RNAcentral.